Molecule: ribosomal RNA, 500 nt
Filed under: uncultured bacterium
Lineage: Bacteria
Description: bacterial SSU rRNA
Rfam family: Bacterial small subunit ribosomal RNA
Source: RNAcentral
AGAGUUUGAUUAUGGCUCAGGAUGAACGCUGGCGGCGCGCCUAACACAUGCAAGUCGAACGGUUAAAGCACCUCCGGGUGUGUAUAAAGUGGCGAACGGCUGAGUAACACGUGGGCAACCUGCCCCUCGCUCCGGGACAGCCUCGGGAAACUGGGAGUAAUACCGGAUACUCCGCCACCCCCGCAUGGGGGAGGCGGGAAAGCCCUUACGGCGAGGGAUGGGCCCGCGGCCUGUUAGCUUGUUGGUGGGGUAACGGCCUACCAAGGCGAUUAUGGGUAGCUGGGUUGAGAGACCGACCAGCCAGAUUGGGACUGAGACACGGCCCAAACUCCUACGGGAGGCAGCAGUGGGGAAUCUUGCACAAUGGGCGAAAGCCUGAUGCAGCGACGCCGCGUGCGGGAUGAAGGCCUUCGGGUUGUAAACCGCUUUCAGUGGGGACGAGGCCGCGAGGUGACGGUACCCACAGAAGAAGCCCCGGCUAACUACGUGCCAGCCGCUGC